CCCUUAGAUGUUCUGGGCCGCACGCGUGCUACACUGAGUGGAUCAGCGGGUCAGGUUGCGCGAAAGUGUUUCCUAAUCUUUAAAUCCGCUCGUGAUGGGGAUUGACGGUUGCAAUUUUCCGUCAUGAACGAGGAAUACCUUGUAAGCGCGGGUCAUCAUCCCGCGCUGAAUACGUCCCUGCCCUUUGUACACACCGCCCGUCGCUCCUACCGAUUGAGUGGUCCGGUGAGGCUUUGGGAUCUGAGUGGAAAGAGCGUUUCGCUGUUUCUGCUCGGAAAACUCAGUCGAACCUUAUCAUUUAGAGGAAGGAGAAGUCGUAACA
This 322-nucleotide ribosomal RNA is filed under the name uncultured eukaryote. RNAcentral describes it as "partial 18S ribosomal RNA". It matches the Rfam family "Eukaryotic small subunit ribosomal RNA", at positions 1470 to 1796 of the family's 1831-position model. The record is from RNAcentral.